RNAcentral lists this ribosomal RNA (254 nucleotides) under uncultured bacterium. RNAcentral describes it as "partial 16S ribosomal RNA". It matches the Rfam family "Bacterial small subunit ribosomal RNA", at positions 524 to 776 of the family's 1533-position model. The record is from RNAcentral.
UACGAAGGGGGCUAGCGUUGCUCGGAAUCACUGGGCGUAAAGGGCGCGUAGGCGGCCUGUGCAAGUCAGUUGUGAAAUCUCCGGGCUUAACUCGGAACGGUCAACUGAUACUGCUCGGCUAGAGUGCGGAAGGGGCAACUGGAAUUCUUGGUGUAGCGGUGAAAUGCGUAGAUAUCAGGAGGAACACCGGUGGCGAAGGCGGGUCUCUGGGCCGAUACUGACGCUGAGGAGCGAAAGCGUGGGGAGCGAACAGG